GGGGUUGUGGCUCAGUGGUAGAGUGCUUCACCUAGCACGUGCAAGAGGCUGGGUUCAAUCCUCAGCACCGCA
Molecule: transfer RNA, 72 nt
Filed under: Marmota monax (woodchuck)
Lineage: Eukaryota; Metazoa; Chordata; Mammalia; Rodentia; Sciuridae
Description: tRNA.Ala
Source: RNAcentral